AUUGAACGCUGGCGGCAGGCCUAACACAUGCAAGUCGAGCGGAUGAAGGGAGCUUGCUCCUGGAUUCAGCGGCGGACGGGUGAGUAAUGCCUAGGAAUCUGCCUGGUAGUGGGGGAUAACGUCCGGAAACGGGCGCUAAUACCGCAUACGUCCUGAGGGAGAAAGUGGGGGAUCUUCGGACCUCACGCUAUCAUAUGAGGCUAGGUCGGAUUAGCUAGUUGGUGGGGUAAAUGCCUACCAAGGAGACGAUCCGUAACUGGUCUGAGGGGAUGAUCAGUCACACUGGAACUGAGACACGGUCCAGACUCCUACGGGAAGCAGCAGUGGGGAAUAUUGGACAAUGGGCGAAAGCCUGAUCCAGCCAUGCCGCGUGUGUGAAGAAGGUCUUCGGAUUGUAAAGCACUUUAAGUUGGGAGGAAGGGCAGUAAGUUAAUACCUUGCUGUUUUGACGUUACCAACAGAAUAAGCACCGGCUAACUUCGUG
Molecule: ribosomal RNA, 484 nt
Filed under: uncultured bacterium
Lineage: Bacteria
Description: partial 16S ribosomal RNA
Rfam family: Bacterial small subunit ribosomal RNA
Source: RNAcentral